Picea glauca (white spruce) is the source of this 123-nucleotide non-coding RNA. The record is from Rfam. NCBI's taxonomy places the organism in Eukaryota, Viridiplantae, Streptophyta, Pinopsida, Pinales, Pinaceae.
AUGUACAUUCCUACAAAUUAGAAUUAAUGCACCGGAUCCCAUUAGAACUUCGCAGUUAAGCUUGCUCAGGCUAGAGUAGUACUGGGAUGGAUAACCACCCGAGAAGUCCUAGUAUUUUACAUG